RNAcentral lists this ribosomal RNA (253 nucleotides) under uncultured bacterium. RNAcentral's name for it is "partial 16S ribosomal RNA". It matches the Rfam family "Bacterial small subunit ribosomal RNA", at positions 524 to 776 of the family's 1533-position model. The record is from RNAcentral.
UACGUAGGGGGCUAGCGUUGUCCGGAAUCAUUGGGCGUAAAGCGCGUGUAGGCGGUCCGGUAAGUCCGCUGUGAAAGUCGGGGGCUCAACCCUCGGAUGCCGGUGGAUACUGUCGGGCUUGAGUACGGAAGAGGCGAGUGGAAUUCCUGGUGUAGCGGUGAAAUGCGCAGAUAUCAGGAGGAACACCGGUGGCGAAAGCGGCGUGCUGGACCUUUACUGACGCUGAUGCGCGAAAGCCAGGGGAGCGAACGGG